RNAcentral lists this ribosomal RNA (504 nucleotides) under uncultured bacterium. Its description in RNAcentral is "partial 16S ribosomal RNA". It matches the Rfam family "Bacterial small subunit ribosomal RNA", at positions 29 to 523 of the family's 1533-position model. The record is from RNAcentral.
AUUGAACGCUGGCGGCAGGCCUAACACAUGCAAGUCGAACGGUAGCACAGAGAGCUUGCUCUCGGGUGACGAGUGGCGGACGGGUGAGUAACGUCUGGGAAACUGCCCGAUGGAGGGGGAUAACUACUGGAAACGGUAGCUAAUACCGCAUAACGUCGCAAGACCAAAGUGGGGGACCUUCGGGCCUCACACCAUCGGAUGUGCCCAGAUGGGAUUAGCCAGUAGGUGGGGUAAUGGCUCACCUAGGCGACGAUCCCUAGCUGGUCUGAGAGGAUGACCAGCCACACUGGAACUGAGACACGGUCCAGACUCCUACGGGAGGCAGCAGUGGGGAGUAUUGCACAAUGGGCGCAAGCCUGAUGCAGCCAUGCCGCGUGUAUGAAGAAGGCCUUCGGGUUGUAAAGUACUUUCAGCGGGGAGGAAGGCGGUGAAGUUAACAGCUUCACCGAUUGACGUUACCCGCAGAAGAAGCACCGGCUAACUCCGUGCCAGCCGCCGCCGUAA